This 70-nucleotide transfer RNA is filed under the name Motyxia porrecta. RNAcentral describes it as "tRNA-Val". The record is from RNAcentral. Lineage: Eukaryota; Metazoa; Arthropoda; Diplopoda; Polydesmida; Xystodesmidae. RNAcentral also lists the same sequence under 1 other name.
CACAUUAAAGUUUAUUAUAGAAUUUUUCUGUUACAAUGAAAGGGUCUCGCAUUGUUGGGUAGUGUGAGAA